RNAcentral lists this ribosomal RNA (260 nucleotides) under uncultured bacterium. RNAcentral describes it as "partial 16S ribosomal RNA". It matches the Rfam family "Bacterial small subunit ribosomal RNA", at positions 524 to 782 of the family's 1533-position model. The record is from RNAcentral.
UACGAAGGGGGCUAGCGUUGCUCGGAAUCACUGGGCGUAAAGGGUGCGUAGGCGGGUCUUUAAGUCAGGGGUGAAAUCCUGGAGCUCAACUCCAGAACUGCCUUUGAUACUGAGGAUCUUGAGUUCGGGAGAGGUGAGUGGAACUGCGAGUGUAGAGGUGAAAUUCGUAGAUAUUCGCAAGAACACCAGUGGCGAAGGUGGCUCACUGGCCCGAGUACUGACGCUGAGGCACGAAAGCGUGGGGAGCAAACAGGAUAGAA